RNAcentral lists this non-coding RNA (21 nucleotides) under Caenorhabditis elegans. The record is from RNAcentral. Lineage: Eukaryota; Metazoa; Nematoda; Chromadorea; Rhabditida; Rhabditidae.
UCCGUCAUCGCUAUCUCAUGC